AAAUAAAACUUUGGAUCAAAAAAUAUUUUCUUCUGAUGAGGUUUAUGAAUAUUAAAUAGUUAAACCAUCCGAGUACGAAACAUGUUUAAAAUCCACUAUUCUUAAUGAAUGGCAACUACCAACUUGAGAGGAAGCUAAGAGAAAGGUUCCAUUGGGUGGACUACAAGGAAAAGGGACAUAUACAUGAGGAUCUGGAAGGGCUAUAACAUUACGUCUCAAGCCAUGGGACAA
Long non-coding RNA from Sitophilus oryzae (rice weevil), 231 nucleotides. RefSeq lists it as uncharacterized. NCBI's taxonomy places the organism in Eukaryota, Metazoa, Arthropoda, Insecta, Coleoptera, Curculionidae. The transcript is spliced from 2 exons. The record is from RefSeq and is a predicted model, not a curated record.